AACGCGAAGAACCUUACCUGCCCUUGACAUCCGGAUGACCGGUGGGUAAUGCCGCCCUCUCUUUUUGAGCAUCCGAGACAGGUGGUGCAUGGUUGUCGUCAGCUCGUGUCGUGAGAUGUUGGGUUAAGUCCCGCAACGAGCGCAACCCUUAUCUUUAGUAGCCAGCAUUAAAGGUGGGCACUCUAGAGAGACUGCCAGGGAUAACUUGGAGGAAGGUGGGGAUGACGUCAAAUCAUCAUGCCCCUUAUGGGCAGGGCUACACACGUGCUACAAUGGCGUAAACAAAGGGAAGCGAGACUGCGAAGUUAAGCAAAUCCCAAAAAUAACGUCUCAGUUCGGACUGCAGUCUGCAACUCGACUGCACGAAGCUGGAAUCGCUAGUAAUCGCGAAUCAGAAUGUCGCGGUGAAUACGUUCCCGGGUCUUGUACACACCG
RNAcentral lists this ribosomal RNA (435 nucleotides) under uncultured bacterium. RNAcentral describes it as "bacterial SSU rRNA". It matches the Rfam family "Bacterial small subunit ribosomal RNA", at positions 958 to 1392 of the family's 1533-position model. The record is from RNAcentral.